Molecule: long non-coding RNA, 1222 nt
Filed under: Manihot esculenta (cassava)
Lineage: Eukaryota; Viridiplantae; Streptophyta; Magnoliopsida; Malpighiales; Euphorbiaceae
Description: long non-coding RNA (MESC_LNC002737)
Source: RNAcentral
UACAGUCCAAAGGAGGAUAAUCAAUAUAAAGUUCCCUCUUGCUCCAUAGCUACAAUCAUGGCCUUUAAAUUCUUCUCUUGCUACAUCAAAGCUCUGAUCACCUUCAUUUUGGUGGCUAUGCUCAUAUUCCUUUUACAGUAGGGUUUGUUCCCCUGCAUGGGUUUGAUGUAUUUUCAGUUCUGGAUUUUCAUUAUGCUUACCUAUGUGUUUUUUCUUACCUAUCUGCAUAUUAAAAACAAAAAACCUUUUGAUAAAGAUAUGGUUUUCAGUAUCUUUUUAAUGCAUAUUUUCCUAGUAAGCAAGAAUUUCUUAAUUUCAUUAAUAAAAAGUCAAGAAAAAUGUAGCAAACCCAGCUUGCUAAACCUAGAUGAUAGGUUUCUGUACAAUUCUACUUAGCCCUUCGUCUUUGAUAGUAUUUUACGAAGAAAAAAAACUAAAGAGUGAAAAUUUUGGAAGGAAAUAAAAUAAUGAAGAGGUUAAUUUUCUCUAUUCUUACUUGGAUAUUAGUGAAGAAAAUAAAAGAGGAAAGCGACUUUUCGAGUACUAAAAUAUUUAUUUUAUUCUACAUAUUUGUAAUUAAAAUAUAUGAAGAUAAAAUAUAUAUUUGUUCAUUUUAGAUCAUUUGUUAAGAUGUAAUUAAUUUUGUUUUUUUCCUUCAUGCCACCCUGAUAGCUAGGGCUGAGCAGAUUUCGGUUCAAACCGAAAAAAUCGACCGAACCGAACCGAUUUGAAAAUUUAGUUCGGUUUUUUAUACAUUUCGGUUCGGUUCGGUUUUUAUUUUCAGAAAUUUCGGUGAUUUCGGUUCGGUUCGGUUUUAGAUUCAAAAAUUUCGAUUAAACCGAACCGAACCGAAAUCAUCAAUACUACGUCGUUUUUAAUAGUUCACUUAUUUGCCCUAAAUAUAAAAGUCAUCUCGUCUGCCACAAUUCGCAUUCACACUCUGUUGCUCUCCAUCCAUUUCAGAUUCCAUCGCCGCCUGCCCUCACCUCACACUCACAGUGCAUGUGCCUCCAUCCACUCCAUCCACCACUUCCAGCGGCGCUUCCACCGUCCAACCUCCACUUUCCUCCCGGCGACAUCGAUUGAUUGACCAUCGUCGGGUACCUCGGCUUGUACGUUGCAGCUGUGUGACCCGUCGCUGCAAUCGUCGGUGCCGCGUCACCCAUCGCCGCUGUCGUGUGCUGUUGUGUUGUACAUCUGCAUCGCUGUCGUGCACUGCCGC